GCCAGAUAUUUGGAUGCGUCAGACGUUAAAUAUGUUGUCGAAUACGUCUUAUUCUGGAGUGAAUCAGGUGUGUACAGCUGCACACGGAACAAUGGAUGACCUGAAAUGACAGCAGCAUGGAUACAUGAGCCAACAGAUGAUACGCUGUCCUCCUUCCAACACCCUCGCAAGUAGCAUAUUUCUCUCCCCGGAGCGAGUAACUCUGUCUCCUGCCUGUGUCCACACACUCCUGUCGCCUCCACCCUCCACCUCCCUCCACCUCCCUCUCCCCCCCCAACAACACAACCCAGGGACGAGCAUGGCCUGCAGCUUCGAUGGCCCUCCGUGGAACAAAAACACACGCUGCCUCCUCAAAAGCCUCCUUUAUCCGCGACGAACAAAAAGACGGCUUCACCUCCGCACUGUUCCCACCAUUAGGCCCUGGCCUCCUCGUCCCCCUCCUGCUCACAGCCCCACUGGGUCCUUUCAGCGCGGGGCAGCGGGGGUGUGAGCUACGCCCUUUAUGUUCGCAUGUGUCCGUGCUGGUUUACUCUGUCAGACUUUGCCCCCUUUCACAAAAGACGUGCAAAGAGAUUGACCAGCAGCUUUUGACGCUGCCACCCCUCCCCUCCCCCCAAUUCAGAUAUGAAAAACACACCUGCACCUUUAUGUGUGCGGGGUUCACAGUUAACGCUGGAGGGGCAGUCUGUUCCUCGCUGACUCUGGGGGGAGGAAAAGUUUGGAAUUACGCCUGAAUCGUGGUUGAAAUGGGGACAAUCUGCCUCGAAUAUGUCGUCUGACCGGGCUCGAACCCCCCCCGACCACCAGGACUCGUGGAAAACAUUUUUUUUUCUUCUUUUUUCUCCACCUCUCUACGUGUCACAAUGUUUUGAUAUCAUGAGCAAAUUAUAUGUUCUCUUGUCCAACAUAUGGGAGCACCACUCAAUCAACGGGAUCUAACGACGCGGUGGGCAAAUUUGCAUUGCGUGAAUACAAAGUGGGUCAUUUGGAAGCGUUGUUGGCAUGUCGGCCUCUGUCGUAAAAAAAAAAAA
This is a long non-coding RNA of Acanthopagrus latus (yellowfin seabream), 1031 nucleotides long. RefSeq lists it as uncharacterized. The transcript is spliced from 2 exons. NCBI's taxonomy places the organism in Eukaryota, Metazoa, Chordata, Actinopteri, Spariformes, Sparidae. The record is from RefSeq and is a predicted model, not a curated record.